RNAcentral lists this transfer RNA (79 nucleotides) under Methanothermococcus okinawensis IH1. Its description in RNAcentral is "tRNA-Met". It matches the Rfam family "tRNA". Rfam says of the family: Transfer RNA (tRNA) molecules are approximately 80 nucleotides in length. Their secondary structure includes four short double-helical elements and three loops (D, anti-codon, and T loops). The record is from RNAcentral. Lineage: Archaea; Methanobacteriati; Methanobacteriota; Methanococci; Methanococcales; Methanococcaceae.
GCCGAGGUGGCUUAGGCUGGUUAUAGCGCUCGGCUCAUACGAAACCGAGAGGUCGGGGGUUCGAGUCCCCCCCUCGGCA